This 494-nucleotide ribosomal RNA is filed under the name uncultured bacterium. RNAcentral's name for it is "bacterial SSU rRNA". It matches the Rfam family "Bacterial small subunit ribosomal RNA", at positions 355 to 865 of the family's 1533-position model. The record is from RNAcentral.
UGGGGAAUCUUGGACAAUGGGGGCAACCCUGAUCCAGCCAUGCCGCGUGAGUGAUGAAGGCCUUAGGGUCGUAAAGCUCUUUCGCCUGUGAAGAUAAUGACGGUAGCAGGUAAAGAAACCCCGGCUAACUCCGUGCCAGCAGCCGCGGUAAUACGGAGGGGGUUAGCGUUGUUCGGAAUUACUGGGCGUAAAGCGCACGUAGGCGGACCAGAAAGUUGGGGGUGAAAUCCCGGGGGCUCAACCCCGGAACUGCCUCCAAAACUAUUGGUCUAGAGUUCGAGAGAGGUGAGUGGAAUUCCAAGUGUAGAGGUGAAAUUCGUAGAUAUUUGGAGGAACACCAGUGGCGAAGGCGGCUCACUGGCUCGAUACUGACGCUGAGGUGCGAAAGUGUGGGGAGCAAACAGGAUUAGAUACCCUGGUAGUCCACACCGUAAAACGAUGAAUGCCAGUCGUCGGGUAGCAUGCUAUUCGGUGACACACCUAACGGAUUAAGC